UACGAAGGGGGCUAGCGUUGUUCGGAAUUACUGGGCGUAAAGCGCGCGCAGGCGGCUAUCCAAGUCAGUGGUGAAAGCCCGGAGCUCAACUCCGGAACUGCCAUUGAAACUGUUUAGCUUGAGGAUGAGAGAGGUGAGUGGAAUUCCCAGUGUAGAGGUGAAAUUCGUAGAUAUUGGGAAGAACACCGGUGGCGAAGGCGGCUCACUGGCCCGUAACUGACGCUGAGGUGCGAAAGCGUGGGGAGCAAACAGG
RNAcentral lists this ribosomal RNA (253 nucleotides) under uncultured bacterium. Its description in RNAcentral is "partial 16S ribosomal RNA". It matches the Rfam family "Bacterial small subunit ribosomal RNA", at positions 524 to 776 of the family's 1533-position model. The record is from RNAcentral.